Hemiscyllium ocellatum (epaulette shark) is the source of this 275-nucleotide long non-coding RNA. RefSeq lists it as uncharacterized. The transcript has 3 exons. NCBI's taxonomy places the organism in Eukaryota, Metazoa, Chordata, Chondrichthyes, Orectolobiformes, Hemiscylliidae. The record is from RefSeq and is a predicted model, not a curated record.
UCACCCUCGCGCCCGACAGAGUCGCUGUAAUGAAAGCUCGGGAAGUUAUGGAGAGAAAGGAGACGAUCCCAGUGAUUAAUGCCAAAGCCCUGUUGCCUGGGGAGAGGGUGAUGUUUGACUUUCUUGUACAGCUGCAGUUUGUGUGGUGAAGGUGCUCCCACAAUGUGGUUGGAUCCCAGUGAUUAAUGCCAAAGCCCCAUUGCCUGUGGAGAGGGUGAUGUUUGACUUCCUUGUACAGCUGCAGUUUGUGUGGUGAAGGUGCUCCCACAAUGUGG